Molecule: long non-coding RNA, 595 nt
Organism: Aethina tumida (small hive beetle)
Lineage: Eukaryota; Metazoa; Arthropoda; Insecta; Coleoptera; Nitidulidae
Exons: 4
Source: RefSeq, a predicted model, not a curated record
UCUCAUUAUUAGCAUUUUUGAAAUAUCAUUAGGAAGGAAUUUUUAUGAUUUCGAUUAUGAAUAUAACAGUCCAAAACAAAAAGAAAAAUACUAUUAUGUUGAUGAUAAUUAUCGUGACAGGACAAAUGAUGAUUAUCAGGAAUACCACGCUAGUAGCCAGAUUCGCUAUAAUAACCCACCAUGUCCUUCCAAAAGAAGAGAUAUUUUUUUAAACAAAGACAUGUUUGUAAAGAAAUACGAAAAUCUUCAGACAAAUUUUAUAACUGCUAAAAGAUGCAUUGAAGGCAAAAUUGAUAACAAACUUUGUAUACCCACAAAGAUUAGAAAGAAAACCAUUAAGAUUAGGAAAAGUGGCGACACUUUCGUAAAAAUUGUUUACCACGAUCAUGAAAAAUGUGAAUGGUCAGAACAACGAUGCGAAGAAGGGAAAUUACCAAAUCAAAAUGACGAAUGUGUGUGUAAAAUAAGGUGUAAAGGCAAAAAAGUUUUAGAUCAGGAAAAUUGCAUGUGCAAAUGUGAUAUUUCGUGCACCACCGGCACUGACUUAAAUGAGGAAACUUGUACAUGUUCUGGAUCAUCAACAAAAAAUUAUCGU